This 544-nucleotide ribosomal RNA is filed under the name uncultured bacterium. RNAcentral's name for it is "bacterial SSU rRNA". It matches the Rfam family "Bacterial small subunit ribosomal RNA", at positions 777 to 1319 of the family's 1533-position model. The record is from RNAcentral.
AAUAGAUACCCUGGUAGUCCACGCCGUAAACGAUGAGUGCUAAGUGUUGGGGGGUUUCCGCCCCUCAGUGCUGCAGCUAACGCAUUAAGCACUCCGCCUGGGGAGUACGGUCGCAAGACUGAAACUCAAAGGAAUUGACGGGGGCCCGCACAAGCGGUGGAGCAUGUGGUUUAAUUCGAAGCAACGCGAAGAGCCUUACCAGGUCUUGACAUCCCGGUGACCACUAUGGAGACAUAGUUUCCCCUUCGGGGGCAACGGUGACAGGUGGUGCAUGGUUGUCGUCAGCUCGUGUCGUGAGAUGUUGGGUUAAGUCCCGCAACGAGCGCAACCCUUAUUCUUAGUUGCCAUCAUUCAGUUGGGCACUCUAAGGAGACUGCCGGUGAUAAACCGGAGGAAGGUGGGGAUGACGUCAAAUCAUCAUGCCCCUUAUGACCUGGGCUACACACGUGCUACAAUGGACGGUACAAACGGUUGCCAACCCGCGAGGGGGAGCUAAUCCGAUAAAACCGUUCUCAGUUCGGAUUGUAGGCUGCAACUCGCCUAC